GAUCCUUUUGUGGUAAAUGAAUGAAUAUAUAAAAUUCUAACUACAAAAGAAAAUAUAUAUAUAUAAGGCAGAUGAAACAAGGGUCUAACCAACAAACUCAACCCCAAUGCAAGGAAGAGAAAUAAACCAACUCCAAACAACUGAGCCAAAAGAGAAGAGCCAAAAUGGGCAGCAGUCGCAUAGGAAGCAAGUCCCCAUGUAAUCAAAAUGCACGCAUGAUCUUUACUUUUUCUAGUUUAUCUGGCAGUGCACAAUAUAUUAACUUAUUAUAUAUGAACUUAUGAAGAGGGUACGGUCGGGGAGACAUCCGAGCAAUUUACGGCGCUUUUGAAAAGCCAGCCCACGCAGCAGCAGCUUUCGCCUGCUCUCUGCUUUUUGGCGGCUCACUCUCUGACGGGCGACCCCCUCUUUUAACUUACCUUUUCAAUUCCUCUCUCACGCAUAAAUUAUACAAUGCAUGCUUGAUGCUUGCUCGUAUUUCAGUUGAAAAGAAAUCCAUCACAGCUCACAGCUGCAUGCAUAUGUACGUAAAUAUACACACACACAUGCUCUUUAAGGAAACAGUGACGGAUUCGGGAUUUAACUCUGAGGGUCGCAAUGCAAAAUAUUGUGAAAAAAUAUUAGAUGAAAAUAGCAUGAAAUGGUAGUAUUUAUAUUAUAAUUUAGGAUAAAGAUAAAGAGUUUGUCUUCCCUUGUUCAAACUACCAAGUUGAAAAUCGGUUCGGAGAAAAGCUGUUGAGAUAUAAAGGCACAAAGAGUUUUUGUUGGAAAAUUAUUUUAUUAUUUUAACUUUUUU
RNAcentral lists this long non-coding RNA (796 nucleotides) under Malus domestica (apple). RNAcentral describes it as "long non-coding RNA (MDOM_LNC020675)". The record is from RNAcentral. Lineage: Eukaryota; Viridiplantae; Streptophyta; Magnoliopsida; Rosales; Rosaceae.